AAGUUUUUUUUAAUCUAUUAAUUGCAUUGAUUUAAGUAUACUUUCAUCAGAUAAAGAAACCAAUUUGUGCCGGGUCACUAGUUUUCACUGUUUUUGAUUCACGUUAGGAGCGGGUCCGGUGUUUGUGAACUUGUGCCGUGUAAACAGAAAUCUGCUCCAGAUUUACUUUGCAACCGAACAGGGUGGCGCCAAAGGGUGGAAUCAAAUACCACAAAUCAUGGCAGCUGGUGUGAAGGAUUUUAUUCAGGAGACUCAUGACCAAAGGAUUCCUGUCUACGUUGUUCCAGGUUGAUGCCAAGAUUUCGCAGCUGUCACGCAAGACCAGGAGCACCGGAAAGACUUCAUUCUUGGAUGCAAAUAUCUGGAAACACUAUGUUCAGUUGGUUUUCAUCACCAAGGGCAAAAGGGCAGGGGAUUGAGCACCAGGAUGGGUCAACCAACCAACCUAGUGACCUACUGACCUACCAACCAAUCGACCAACUUCUCAAACUGGAUGGCAAGAUGCAAAGUUGCCGUCUGGUCUGCCCACACUCGCUCUCAACUCGCCAAGAAGCCUCGGCGGCGGACGCAGGGGAAAGAUCGGACGCAGAGUCCAGCUGGUCCGACGGCGGAGUCAGCCAGCGGAACAGAUGUGCGAGGGACUUUGAUGUAGCGUCAACGAAUGAACCACUGCCGACUGAGCAAAGCGCACACGCGUAUGUGUCGGUGUGUGUGCACGGCGCCAGCCUGCCAGCGAGGGGAUUACACGGAGGACCUCCCGCAAUCAGGACACUCGUACCGCACUCCGCCGUCAAUCCUCCUCUUUCGCCGGUGUGCGCGUGUGCGUCGUCCAGACAAAUGACGAGGAGCCAGAUGUCCAGAAUGCCGACGACGCCCCGCAACCUGGACAAGAUGGCUGACAACCCGCAGGCAGAAGCUGGCAAGCUCUCAGGUGAAGGGUGCUCGGGCCUCCGGGGCGGAUGGAUUGCGGCGUGAAGAGCGAUCGGGCGUCACGGAGGCGGCGACAGAUAGCGAGUCAAGGCGCGCCAACGCGGGGAGAUCGGUCUCAACCGGACUCCAUUUGUCACGACCGACAUCAAAGAAGAGGAGGAGGAGGAGCAGCAGUGUCCUGUCCGGAAUGAGGCUCGGAUGCAAGUGCAAUGCAGAGGAAGAGGAGGAGAAGUGAGUCCCCCCCCCUCGCUCUCGCCCGCUCUCUCAUUCUCCCCUCCCUCUCUUUUGGCCUCUCACCCUCCCUUGCAGGUGUACGACAGGGAGGCAACCGAUGAGACAACUCCAACCCCCCACCAACUUCAGAGACAGUGAUUUAGUUACAUGGUCGAGAUCUCGUAUUGAUCCCUGGAGGACAACUUUGACAUCUCAGAGACCCCCCGCCCCCCACCCCACUCCCCCAUGGGCACCUCUGACCUUCAGCCACUUCCUGAAAUCGUUAAACUGGUCACUUCAUCAGGUACGCCUGCAAGGGAAUCAUGCUCUGUUAUGAUUCAUUUGGACACAUUUUAUUUUUAUUUACUUUAUCUUACAUCCAUUCGUUUACAUCGUAAAAUAUUUCAACCAAAACUAAUGAAUAGAAUCUCAUAUAAACCCUUAGAUACACCCUGUACCCUGAUAACUUGAUAAGCCGUCGUAAGCGCUGUCCCUGAAAGGGUUUGUUAAUAUAAUAUGUGUAGUUUUGUAUCGAAAAUUGUGAUGUAUUUAGUAACGUGUGGAUAAUGAUACCACCUGAAACGGACACAAAAUGCAUUCACCAGGUUGUAACAUCAGAACUGACGAAUUCCAAGGAAUGGGUUCGUGAUCACGAUCUGGAUAUAAAGUACAGAUGUUGUGAAUCUUCACAAACAGUCUUCACCUGCCGCCUUUUGGAACACCGUGCUAAUGGAAUACAGCCAUUUUGGGAGGGGGGGGGGGGGGUUGCACACAGCAUGCAUUACACGGCGCUCCGCCAGGGAAUUGAAGCACGGGCCAAGAGGGAAGAUAGGGACGGGUGACGGUGGGGGCUCAACUGCAAAUAGUUACGCCAAUCUGGAAACCAGAGAGUUCGCGCUUCCCAGUGAGAACAGAGGAGCCAGUCACACUCAUCCGCGGCGAAUGAAUAAGAUGCGUUGACGUUACAAGCCGCGAGGAUGUUAGCCAGACACGCAGAGGGGGAAGGAUGGGAUUCUCCCACCGAGCCGCCUUUACGUUGUCAAAUUCAUGGCCCGGCUCCUGUCCUCACGACUGAGCUCGGGGGUGUCGGGCCUUCAAAGAAGAUGAAAUGUAAGCCCGCCAUGAAUUAGACCCUUUUGUAGAAUGAUGAUACAAAUCGUCUUUCUCGACAUAUUUCACGUUUAUUUUCAACAGACGGCAACAUGGAUGGCGUUGGGGCCUUUUUAUUUAUGCUUUCUCAGUCUUUGAACUCUGAACCACACUCGGCUGCGGUUUUGCAGGUCAACAGUUUCACCUCCUGUAGGAAAAGUCAAGUGAACGCAUCCGUUCGUCCCUGAAAUUAUUGCCAUCAUAAAACAUUUUUUUAACUACACAGUCAUUUUUUUAAGAGACAUAUUAAUGAUUUAACAUAAGUCCCACAAAUCCGAAUUCAAUAUUUUUUGCACCCGACAAUGAUGUCUUUUCAAAAUGGCUGACAGGAAGAGCUCAGGCUUGAACAACAUCGUUUUUAAAGUAAAUCUUCAAAAUAUUUAUUUAUACUACAAACUCCAAAGACUUCUGGGAUAUUUUAAUUAUUUUAUUAUGAUCUAUUAUAAUUAUUAUUGUGUUUAUUAUUACGGGGGUUCACCAUAGGCGAGUUUCACUUAGGUUAGCCUAGCUUAGUUUAGAACACUGCAAAUCAAUUCCUGAUUCAUGUUCUUUACAAUUCCGGGUGACGGUAUUACAAUCUCUAAUUGUACAACUUUAAAUGUUUAGAAAUGACCUCUGCCAAGGACAUCAUGUUACAUUAAUGCCAACAUGCCAACGUUUAAUUGCUGUGUCAGCAUCUGCGGGAUUCCUUUCGCCUGUCAACAUAAUGACUCAGCCGCCUUCACGCUGUUUGCUUGGUCGCAGGGGGCAGUUGUUUCACUUAAUUGUUUCCUGAACUUUGCCCUUGAGUCUUUUUCCGUCUCAUAGAUUGAUGGCGGGCACUCCAUGGCAAACGUGGAUUUGGGGAAGAGCAGAAGGAGGCGGGGGGGUGGGGGGGGGGGCUCAUUUGUGUGCGUGCCUGCGUUUUGGCCAGGUGGUGAUAACAAAUGUACCCCACUUGUGACACCAUCAUCAAGUCCGUGCUUGAUGCUCAGAAUUAAAAUCAUUGCCCAAGCAUUCCAGAGAAAUGGUUCCCACUGCUGAGAGUGGCCGUUGCCAGACGUUCCUCAAUUAGCAUUCUGACUUGGCUCCCAGUUAGCCUCAUUAUGUUCCCCCCACCCUCAAUCGCAUACAAAGCAAAUUAAGGCAAUGAACAGGGCCUCACAGUCCCUUUUUUUCAUGGCAAAUCUUCAAAAUGGUCCUUAAACUUUGACACCAUGCUCUGCCCGUAUUAGAUCCCUUCGUAAAAACACCCUUCACACUGGACACUUUGGGACGGUGCUAAUUCCCAAGCAGUUUAUCAAACUAGGCUAUGAGCUCCGGGAUUUGCAACGAAUGGCUUUUUCACACAAAAAUGGUUGACUUCUUAUGCACCGCGACACAUUUUUGUUUACCGAAUUUUGUGUCGAUCAAGCCAACCAGUGUCGGGUACCGUUUUUUCCCUCACUUUCCAGGGAGUACUACAGAGGGAAUUCGACCAAGAUGGCUGCCACAAAACAAAAUGUCUUGACUUCCUGUUCAAUUCCAGGCAUGUGUCAUUGACACUUUUUUGCACAUCCUGUUAUAAUACACAAUUCUUUGUUAAUCAGUCAAACUGCUGUUCUGAGCUAUUUUCCCCCCCCAACUGUCCAGGGAGCAGGGGAAUCAGCAGGUUGCUGCUGCAUUGUCCCGCUUUUUAAUGGAGACUGAGAAGUAGCAGGGAACCUCUGUGGAGAGACUAAAGUGAGGGGAGAUUCAUCCCUCCGACACUCGCUCCAGGCAGUGGGACCACCCUAACGAGGGGUUGAGAUUGUGUAAGGAAGAGGUGGGCACUGAGAUGUGAUUUAAGGGGGAUGAAUAUAGACCCGCAGGGACAUUGGGAACGCGGGGAGAUGGGAAAAAGACAAGAUGCCCGAGUGAUGGGAAAUGAAACCAUGAAAAUGACAAAAGUGUGUGUGUGUGUGUGUGUACGCGUGUCGCAUCUCUGAUUUUGCCAUUAUUCUCCAGUCCAUCCUGGAAGUGUGUCAUCCAUUUUGUUGGUGGCGCUUAGCUUAGCAAUGUUAAGCUAAUACUUGUCCUAUUCACCCUGGAAAGCAUCUCAAGUAUUUAGUCAUGUUGUUAUUUAAUUCAAAGAAGAUGCAAUAACUAUAUUUAUUACGUUGAGUGGGAGAUCACAAGUGCAUUUACCGCUUCCUAAGGUUGAAAUUACCCAAUAGAUUCAGAAUGGGUUUUGACAUAAAUUCUCAAUCUACAAUACAUACAUUAGUCUGACAACAAUGCAUAGUUUGUGUGCGUCCUUAUGGAAAACCACACGUUAAUGUCUGCAAGACGCAGUCUUAUUCUCAUAUUUUUUCCCCCACUUAAUGUGUGUGGGUAAAAUGUAUAUCGCCACAAUCCAAAAUGAAAGCUGUAAUAAUUGUAAAUCGAUGCCAGCUGUCUUUGUAUCAACUUGUCAUAUUUGAUCAUGUUAAAUUUAAGCAUGUUCAUCGUACCACGUGAGCAGAAAGCCGAUGAUUGGACUACUUAUGCAACAGCACCCCCUGGUGGAAACAAAUGUUCAUGCUCAUCAUCUUGAUGAGCCAUAACAGCUGAGCUCCAGGCUCCUCCGCACCUCCGCCAGGUCCUCCCGGAUCUCCUCCAGCACGUCCAGCUUGGAGAGCUUCCUCUCAAUGGACGAGAGCAGAAGUUCUGCCGACCGUGGGGCG
Hippocampus zosterae (dwarf seahorse) is the source of this 4955-nucleotide RNA transcript. RefSeq lists it as uncharacterized. NCBI's taxonomy places the organism in Eukaryota, Metazoa, Chordata, Actinopteri, Syngnathiformes, Syngnathidae. The record is from RefSeq and is a predicted model, not a curated record. The transcript has 9 exons.